Molecule: long non-coding RNA, 4266 nt
Filed under: Equus caballus (horse)
Lineage: Eukaryota; Metazoa; Chordata; Mammalia; Perissodactyla; Equidae
Description: lncRNA (ENSECAG00000046844.1)
Source: RNAcentral
CUUGUUUAUUCAUCCAUCAUUUAUCCAUUCACGGUUUUUAUUCCCCAAGCACUUGGACUCCUCAUAUGUGCCAGCAGGCACUGUGCUUGGUGUGCAGAGGAAACAAGUGGGCAAGACAAGGUCUGUGUCCUAGGCACCUAGCACAACGCCUGUCUACUCAGAUGGAGAGUCCACAUUGGCAGCCACGUGUCUGUGGCGCAGGCUGCUGCCUGGGCCCAUGGUACAGGACAUCACUUAUCCCGGAGCUGUCACCAGCAUGACCUCAGCCCAUCAGCAGGAAACCGCAGCGUUUUACUAUCUCUGUUGCACAGAUGAGGCUCGGUCACAUACCAGGUACGCUCCUGGGAAGCUAUGGGGGUGGGGUGUUUGGAAGGUGGCAGCCGCAGAGAAGAGGCAGCACCCUGGUGAGCUGUCAGUUGGGCAAGGAGCAUGCCUUGCUUCUGUGGUUAAGGGGGCUCCAGGUUGGUGUGGAGGGAGAGGGGAGCAGGGGCGGCCGUAGCCCCCAAGAGAUAAGACCCUCCUCAUCAAGGCCCAUCUCCAAAUGCCGCCUCCUCCAGCAAGCCUUCACGGAAGGCUUCAUCAGAGAGGCUGUCCCCACCUUCACCCCCGUCCCCCCAACUUCCCAGAACACAGACCACACCAGCCCCCAAACUUGCGUGGGGGGCCUGCUCUGCCUGUCUCCUCACCUAACGCUGACUGACAUCUGAGCCGCAGGGGUGGGGGCUCCUCUGGGUCUCCCCCAAGGUGCCAAAUGUGGGCUCUGCGUGGGGUAGGUGCUCACCAGCACUGUCUGAGUCAACCAGAGAAGGGUGAGCUCCACCUGGAAGAUCACUUGAGGGAGGGAGCCCUGGAGCUCUGGAGAGGCAGGAGGACCUUCCAGAGGUUGGGGGAGAAGACAGGGGAGGAGCGGAGAGCUGGGAAGGGGAGUUCAGAUCUCCUAUGAGAGCCACACUUCCCACCACACACCUGAAUAUAGGGCGGACCCGCCCUUGCUGUCCUGUCUGGGAACCCCUAAAAGGUGUGGAAGGACCAGCUGGCUCCCCUGACCGGUCCCAGCCAGGGAAGCCAGGUCUGGGGGAGGAGGGACCGUGACUGGGCCGAGGGCCCCUCCUGCACUGGAGCCCUUUGCCCAGGGGGCCUGGGACCUCUCAGGCCCACAGCCCCUCCCACACUGGCCAUGAGGCAGAAUGGGGCCUCCCCAGGGGCGGGUGGGGCAGCUGGGAAAGGGGGGCCCUGGAGGAAAGGGGAGCAGGUGUUUACCUGGUCCAGAGACACUUGGCUGAAGUUCAAGUUUGGCUACUUAAACCACACCAAGAGGGAGAGAGAUGCUGUUUGUUCCUAGGUUGCCACCUCAAACCUCCUAGGGCACGGGUGGGGACUGGAAGGGACAGGGAAAGCUGAGGGUCUGGGCCCUCAACACUCAGGGAGGAUCCACAACCACUUCUGGCAUAGCCCCCCUCCUCCCACCAAACCUCUCUUAGGUGGGCAGCACCUGGAUUCCUGUCCCAGCCUGUCUGUGCGGAGAAGAAAGAGGAGGAAAGAGGGGCUGGAGAGACAGAGGGAGACAGAACAAGGGACCGGAAGUGGGGUGAUGGAGGCAAAGGAGGGGGCAAGGGAGAAGGCUCCAGAAAGGACUUGGGCAGCGCCCCUGGGAGUGGAGCAGGGCUGCCCUCGUGUCCUAGCCCAGAGGGAGUUUGCUGCCCAGGGCUGGCCCUGUACUCUGCCUAGAAACAGUAUGUGAACUUUCUGGGGGCCCGCCCCAGCCUCUCUGCACCAUGGGUAGUUCUGGGUGUGUGUCUAAGGGCUGCUGUAUGUGAUGUGACAGUGCGCUCUGGGAGGUGGCUGCUUGUCGUCGACAGGCCCAGGGCAGCACCCCCACCCCUGUCAAGCUCUUUGAUUAUUUUUUCCUGCCGACUCUGUCUCCAGGGACUGCCUCCCGCCCAGGAUGUAAGGCAGGCAGCAGCUUGUCUGACCCAGCCUGGCCCUGGGCGAGUCCCUGCUCUUAGGGGGCUGGAUGGUCUGAGCCAGGGAGACAAGAGACACUGCUCCCACUCCCAUCCUGGGAGCCGGCAAGGCCCCCUCCCUUCCUCCAGUUUCCCAACCUCUCUGCUGAGAGCAGACCCGGAGCCCUGGGGAAGCAGCCAGAUUCCUGCCAGGCGGGUGGGCCGUGGGAGGGAUCAGCAGGCAGCGCUACUGUUCUUCUGCAGCUCCCAUCCCCCACGCAGGGUGAGCCAGCCUCCCGCCUCCUCCCGCUUCCCCUCGCAGUGUCCAGGGCCUGCUUGUCCGAGUGAGACAAGAGUAAUGGACGCAGCCACGGCCUGACCAAAGGGCCUUGGCUCUGGGCCCAGCGUUAGGAAUACUGUCCAUAAACAUUUGGGGAGUGAAUGGUGCCUGCCCCUCCCCACACAGCCGCCUCCUUCCUGUAGCCACAGAAGGCUUGUGGGAGAAGGAAGCCAUGGUGUCCAUCCUCUGCCUCCAAGCUGGGAUCAGCAUCAAAGAUCUUGGGGUCCAGCCUACUGGGCCCUCGACCAGGUCUGGUCACAGACAGGAACCUGCCUUCAUUACGCAGGGCAGCACCACUUCAGCCAGCCCCCUGUCUCUAGGCUGGCCAGGGUCAGCUGCAGCCCAGAGACACCAAGCCUUCUCUCUUGGGUCCAGAAUCCCUUGCUGGUGGAUAUUCCUUUUGAAAUCUAGCUUCUGUCCUUCAGGGACCCCUGUACUUGGUAAUGAGAUGGAAAUAAACCUUGUCUGGCCUUUGGAAAAUUAACUGCAGUCGUCACCCUGCUCUCCUGUGCCCCCUCCUGGAGAGCUGUCUGCCUGCUGUCACGUUGUCUGGAAGGGCUCAGCCCAGGGUGGAUGCUCUGAAACUCCUUGGGGGUCCCCUUCCCUGCCCUACCAGGAGGCUGGCGGGGGACACACAGUCCUCAACGCUCCCCCCUCCCAUGGCCUCAGAUGGAGACAACAAGGACAUCUUUUGAAGGAAGUCUCUGAGCAGUUCCCACAACGGGCAGCUGGGAACUGGAGGUGACCGCCGCCUGCCUGCUGCAGGGGGAUGGCUGAAGCAGUCUCAGGGUGCUCCCUGCCCCCACUCCCCGGGCCUCAGGGAGGCUGUGACACAGAAAAGCUGGGGUCAGGGCGGGGAAGAAGGCAGCCGUGUGUGCUCUUCCUGCCUUGUUCCCUUGUCAACAACUUCAUAUCCAACCUCAUUUCAGGAGACUCCCUUGGCCCACUGUCUUAUUGAGCAAUUUGGGGCAAGUUAUUGCAAUCCUCCAGGCUAGGUUUCCUCAUCCGUAAAAUGGGAGUAAUAAUAGUGCUUACUUCACAGGAUCGUUUCAAGGAUCAGAUUAGAUAAUGCACGCAGGGCACUGAGCACGGAAUAGAGUAUACAGAUGACAUCUUAAUCUGCUGGAUGGGGAGGUUCUGCGACUCGGUCAGCAUCACAAGUUGAGGCAGAGACGGUGUCAGGACCAGUUCCGACUCCCACCGGCAGCUUCGACAGCAUGCCUCACUGCGCCUCCAUUCAGCACACGUUCAUUCAGUCCUGCUCUGUGCCUGGCCCCAACCUGAGGCAAACAGAACUAGACCCAGGGACCCUGCCCUGUCUCUUUCCCCAGAGACAGCGCCUGGCAGGGCUAUUCCUGGGCUUCAAGACCCUCCUGGUCCCCCCCUGCCCCCCACGCAGGGCCAUCCCCUGGGCUCCGGUCCAGCUUUCUCUGUUCCCUUGGAGGGAGCGCCAGGAAUGGGAGGCGGCAGGCGGCCAGGGGCACAGGGCGGGCCGGGAGGAAGGGCCCCAGGUCUGGUUCAUUUCCUGGCAUCCCUGUUUGCCGUGUGCCCCUGGCUUCUGGUGGCUGUUUCCGGCCCGCCCACAGCCUCCCUGGCUGAGUGGGUAGCUGGCCUGGGACUGGAAUUCUCCCACUGUCCUCAGUUUCAGCUGUCUGUCAGCUGGGCCCUCCCCUCAGAGCCCAACAGGUCCAGAGGAGAAUCCUGCUCCCCCACCGGCUGCAUGACCUUGGGCAUGUCACUUUGCCAGUCUGGCCCUUCAUUUCUUCUUCUGGAAAGGGGAUAAUGGGACUGAUCUCACAGGCUUGUCAUGAAGAAUAAAGGACAUGGUAUACAUAAAGGGCCUGGCACAAUGAGACGCCCAAUAAAAACUGUUAUCCAUUUUCUGAGCCAGCUCUCUCCAUUUUCCUCCUCCAGGAAGUCUUCCACGAUGCCCACUUUCCCUUGUCUCCCCAUCCCUGUGUUGGGCUCCCAGUCUGAACCCUG